RNAcentral lists this ribosomal RNA (420 nucleotides) under uncultured bacterium. RNAcentral's name for it is "bacterial SSU rRNA". It matches the Rfam family "Bacterial small subunit ribosomal RNA", at positions 359 to 776 of the family's 1533-position model. The record is from RNAcentral.
GAAUAUUGGACAAUGGACGAAAGUCUGAUCCAGCCAUGCCGCGUGCAGGAAGAAUGCCCUCUGGGUUGUAAACUGCUUUUAUAUGGGAAUAAACCCCCGGACGUGUCCGGGGCUGAAUGUACCAUAAGCAUAAGCACCAGCUAACUCCGUCCCAGCCGCCGCGGUAAUACGGAGGGUGCAAGCGUUAUCCGGAUUUAUUGGGUUUAAAGGGUCCGUAGGUGGAAUUGUAAGUCAGUGGUGAAAUCUUUCAGCUUAACUGGAAAAUUGCCAUUGAUACUGCAAUUCUUGAGUAUACUUGAAGUAGGCGGAAUAUGUCAUGUAGCGGUGAAAUGCAUAGAUAUGACAUAGAACACCGAUAGCGAAGGCAGCUUACUAAAUUAUAACUGACACUGAGGGACGAAAGCGUGGGGAGCGAACAGG